AAUGAUCUCGUUUGAGAGAUUGAAAUAAUAAAAAGUGAAGAAAAAAGAAAAACAAAAAAAAAAAAACAAGAAAGAACAACAAGAACAAGGAACAAGAAAAAAGAUUAAUAAAAAAACAAUAAGGCAAAAGAACAAUAAAUAACAACAUAAGAAAAGAUCAAGAGCAAAGAAUAAUAAAAAAGACUAAGGGUAAAGAACAAGAAAAAAAAACAAUAAGAAAAAAGAUCAAGAAAAGAACAACAAGAAAAAGAACAAUAAAAAAACAACAGGAAAAAGGAAUAAUAAAAAACAAGAAGAAAGAAGAUCAAGAAGAAAGAACAAGGGCGAUCGAGAGAACGCGUCAAAGAUGAUAUUCGACGAAGAACAAAAAUUGUAUGACUAUACUUAUAUGGGGAAAACGAGCGAAUAAGUGGUCGUCCGUUCUGCCACGGGACCGAAGAGAUGAUAGGGAAAAGAAGGCUAUGUAUAUAUAUAUAUAUGUAUGUAUGUAUGUAUGUAUAUACGUGUAUGUAUAUAUCUAUGUAUGUAUCUCGAUAAUCCUUCUCUUCUUUGCCUUGAGGCUCCUACUAAAUUUUCGAGAGAAUUUUUAUCGUCGAACGAUGCGUUGAAAAAAGAAAAGAAAAGAAAAAACAAAAAAAAAAGGAAAUAAGAAAGAAAGGAGAGAAAGAAGAAAAACAAAAUAAAUUUUACUCGAAACGAUCGAUGAUAUUAAUUGAUCUUUUUAAAAAGUGAA
This is a long non-coding RNA of Vespula vulgaris, 733 nucleotides long. RefSeq lists it as uncharacterized. The record is from RefSeq and is a predicted model, not a curated record. The transcript is spliced from 3 exons. Lineage: Eukaryota; Metazoa; Arthropoda; Insecta; Hymenoptera; Vespidae.